This 299-nucleotide small RNA is filed under the name Arabidopsis thaliana (thale cress). RNAcentral describes it as "ATSL172850". Lineage: Eukaryota; Viridiplantae; Streptophyta; Magnoliopsida; Brassicales; Brassicaceae. The record is from RNAcentral.
UAAUUUAUUGAUAAAUUAAUACCUCUAUAAAUUAAUAGAAAUUUAUGGUCCCAACAUUAUUAAUUUAUAGAGGUUUUACUGUAGUAACCAAUCGUGUGGUUAAUGUGGAGAGAUUUUGGGAAGAUUGUCAAAUAUUCUGUCAUUGUAAAUAAGUCUCAACUACAGGAUUUAUUUCACAAAAUGGCUGCAAAAAUGUAUAUAUAGAGAUUUAGAAAUAUAGAAAAUUAUAAAUCACAAAAAAUAAUACAUUUCUAAUCAACUUUUAAUAUGUUUUCUUAAUAUGUAUGAUUUUCCUUUAA